CACAAAUGGGCGGCCAUUGGAUGUGGGACACGCCAAGAACUGGCAGCCAUUGGAGAUUUGGACAACCCAAGAUGGCGGCUAUUGGUGACACAAGAUGGCGGCCAUUGGGUUUGGACACCCAAGAUGGCGGCCAUUGGUGACACAAGAUGGCGGCCAUUGGCUUUGGACACCCAAGAUGGCGGCCAUUGGAUUUGGACACCCAAGAUGGCGGCCAUUGGCUUUGGACACCCAAGAUGGCGGCCAUUGGUGACACAAGAUGGCAGCCAUUGGCUUUGGACACUGAAGAUGGCGGCCAAUGGACCCAUCAGAAAGCCAAUAUGGUCAUAAAUUGGACCCAAUCGAGAAACCAAUUGGACCCAUCAGAACCCUUGGGACCCAUCAGAACCCAUUGGGACCCAUCAAACCAAAUUGGACCAUCAGAACCAUUGGACCCAUCAGAACCGAAUUGGGACCAUCAGAACGCCAUUGGACCAUCAGAACCAAUUGGACCCAUAUCAAAGCAACCAAUUGCGGUCAGCAAUGGACCCAGUCAGCCCCAUUGGACCCAUCAGAACCAAUUGGGAGACCCUCAGAACCAAUUGGGACCCAUCAGAACCAAUAUUGGGUCAGCAUUGGACCCAUCAGAACCAAUUGGACCCAUCAGAACCCAUUGGACCCAUCAGAACCCAUUGGACCCAUCAGAACCCAUUGGACCCAUCAGAACCAAUUGGACCAUCAAAACCCAUUGGACGCACAGAACCAAUUGGACCCCCAUCAGAACCAGUAUGGUCAGUAUCGGACCAUCAGAACCCAUUGGUCAGCAUUGGACCAUCAGAACCAAUUGGACCCAUCAGAACCCAUUGGACCCAUCAGAACCAAUUGGGACCCAUCAGAACCCAUUGGGCCCAUCAGAACCCAUUGGACCCAUCAGAACCAAUAUUGGGUCAGCAUUGGACCCAUCAGAACCCAUUGGACCCAUCAGAACCCAUUGGGACCCAUCAGAACCCAUUGGGACCCAUCAGAACCAAUUGGGACCCAUCAGAACCAAUAUUGGGUCAGCAUUGGACCCAUCAGAACCCAUUGGGACCCAUCAGACCCAUUGGGACCCAUUCAGAAUCCAAAUUGGACCAUCAGAAAACCCAUUGGACCCAUCAGAACCAAUUGGACCCAUCAGAACCAAUUGGACCCAUCAGAACCCAAUAUUGGGUCAGCAUUGGACCCAUCAGAACCAAUUGGACCCAUCAGAACCAAUUGGACCCAUCAGAACCCAUUGGGACCCAUCAGAACCCAUUGGGACCCAUCAGAACCAAUUGGGACCCAUCAGAACCAAUUGGACCCAUCAGAACCCAUUGGACCCAUCAGAACCAUUGUGACCCCAUGCAGAACCAAUGUGGACCCCAUCAGAACCGCAUUGCGGAACCCAUCAAACCAAUUGGCCAUCAAGAACCCAUUGGACCCAUCAGAACAAAUAUUGGUCAGCAUUGGACCCAUCAGAACAAUAUGGGAACCCAUCAGAACCCAUUGGACCAUCAGGAACCAAUUGCGGACCAUCAGAACCCACUUGGACCCAUCAGAACCCAUUGGACCCAUCAGAACCCAUUGGGACCCAUCAGAAACCAAUAUGGGUCAGUAUAUGGGACCAUCAAACCAAUUGGACCCAUGCAGAACCAAAUUGAAACCCAUCAGAUACCCAUUGGGACCACAUCAGCAACCCAUUGGACCCGUAUUAGGGGGGGUCCCUAUAGUUUGUAGUGUUGGGCUGGGAUAUAGGGUUGUUUUAUGGGGGCGGCGGGCGGCAUAUUUUGGGGUAGAAAUGAGAAGUUGGGGUUUGUGGGGGGGGGAGGAGAUUUUGGGGGUGUUUUGUAAUAAAGAAGUGAAAGAAAUUGAGGGGUUCUUUUUUGGGGGGGGGUCUGGGACCCUAUAAAGUGG
Molecule: long non-coding RNA, 1908 nt
Filed under: Coturnix japonica (Japanese quail)
Lineage: Eukaryota; Metazoa; Chordata; Aves; Galliformes; Phasianidae
Description: lncRNA (ENSCJPG00005000236.1)
Source: RNAcentral